Long non-coding RNA from Cygnus olor (mute swan), 815 nucleotides. RefSeq lists it as uncharacterized. The record is from RefSeq and is a predicted model, not a curated record. NCBI's taxonomy places the organism in Eukaryota, Metazoa, Chordata, Aves, Anseriformes, Anatidae. The transcript has 3 exons.
AGACCUCACUGUCUUGCGUUUGCUGUUUAAAGGGCAAGGAACAGAGACUGUUUUAUCUUGCUGCAUAAGCAGGCAUGGGCAGACUUUAACACUGCAGCUGAAAGCACUUUUCUAUCCCUUUUAAUCAGUAGAGGUUAUGUAGAGCUGUGGAGGGGGCGUUUAAUGUUACAUAGACCACAGCCAUGCAAAGCAGCAGCUUGAGCCCAAAACAGGUUUAGGUUUUUCUGUAUGUAAUGAGAGCCCCCCGUGCUAGAAGCAGAGACUUCUUGGGGGCUCUGUAUCUGUUGGGUCUAAGCUCACAUCUUCCUGGAGAUCCUAGAGCUGUGACUCGAGAGUCAAAAUGGGAAGCCUGUUCGUGGUGUCACUGAAGUGAGCUCUUUUCCACUGGGAAGAAGAAAUUUCACUGCAAUUCAGACAUGUUCCUAACAUAGUGGUCUACAGCAAACUCAGAGGUGCCAAGCCCCGCCAGCCCGAGACUUCAACCAGAGGAAUAACCAUGGUGCAGCAGACAGGCAUCCAGCCUCAGCCCACGCCUCCCUGCUGCUUCCCUGCCAGAGGAAGAAGAUCCCCAGGUGAGAUGUUCACCGCUGCCCCGGGACUCCUCUUCUGACGCUCCAACCUCCGGUAUGAUCCAAAUGCUGAGAAAGGCAAAGUUCUAAAGAAGUUUUAAAAAAGAAAGAUGGAAGGAUUUAACAGCUCCUAUACAACAAAAUAAGAGCAUGCUGGCCAAAAGCCUGCUCUUCUUUUCAGGGAAUUACCAACAGGCAGAUUACAAUGAUCACCUUCUAAAUUAUAGUAACCAACCACAUUUUCUG